CCUACGGGUGGCAGCAGUGAGGAAUAUUGGUCAAUGGACGCGAGUCUGAACCAGCCAAGCCGCGUGAAGGAUGACUGCCCUAUGGGUUGUAAACUUCUUUUAUAUGGGAAUAAAACGUUCCACGUGUGGGAUUUUGUAUGUACCAUAUGCAUAAGGAUCGGCCAACUCCGUGCCAACAGCCGGGGUAAUACGGAGGAUCCGAGCGUUAUCCGGAUUUGUUGGGUUUAAAGGGAGCGUAGGUGGGUUGUUAAGUCAGUUGUGAAAGGUUGCGGCUCAACCAUAAAAUUGCAGUUGAAACUGGCAGGCUAGAGUACAGGAGAGGUGGGCGGAAUUCGUGGUGUAGCGGUGAAAUGCUUAGAUAUCACGAAGAACUCCGAUUGCGAAGGCAGUUCACUGGACUGCAACUGACACUGAGGCUCGAAAGUGUGGGGAUCAAACAGGAUUAGAUACCCGGGUAGUC
RNAcentral lists this ribosomal RNA (460 nucleotides) under uncultured bacterium. RNAcentral describes it as "partial 16S ribosomal RNA". It matches the Rfam family "Bacterial small subunit ribosomal RNA", at positions 338 to 795 of the family's 1533-position model. The record is from RNAcentral.